RNAcentral lists this ribosomal RNA (549 nucleotides) under uncultured Glomus. Its description in RNAcentral is "SSU rRNA". It matches the Rfam family "Eukaryotic small subunit ribosomal RNA", at positions 548 to 1098 of the family's 1831-position model. Lineage: Eukaryota; Fungi; Glomeromycota; Glomeromycetes; Glomerales; Glomeraceae. The record is from RNAcentral.
UUGGAGGGCAAGUCUGGUGCCAGCAGCCGCGGUAAUUCCAGCUCCAAUAGCGUAUAUUAAAGUUGUUGCAGUUAAAAAGCUCGUAGUUGAAUUUCGGGGUCAGUAGGUUGGUCGUGCCACAGGUAUGAACUGGUCUCACUGAUUCCUCCUUCCUGAUGAACCGUAAUGCCAUUAAUUUGGUGUUGCGGGGAGACUGGACUGUUACUUUGAAAAAAUUAGAGUGUUUAAAGCAGGCUAACGCUUGAAUACAUUAGCAUGGAAUAAUGAAAUAGGACGUUCGGUCUUAUUUUGUUGGUUUCUAAGAUUGACGUAAUGAUUAAUAGGGAUAGUUGGGGGCAUUAGUAUUCAAUUGUCAGAGGUGAAAUUCUUGGAUUUAUUGAAGACUAACUACUGCGAAAGCAUUUGCCAAGGAUGUUUUCAUUAAUCAAGAACGAAAGUUAGGGGAUCGAAGACGAUCAGGUACCGUCGUAGUCUUAACCAUAAACUAUGCCGACUAGGGAUCGGAUGAUGUUAAUUUUUUAAUGACUCAUUCGGCGCCUUACGGGAAAC